ACUGUCAAGUACUACGUUUAUGCUGAUUGCAAGUGGCAGAGCAAUACCACCAAGGCCUUUGUGCCCCAGGAAAUCACUGGGGCCCUUUAUGGCUGCUGACUCUAUUCAUCUAGAAGCACCUUUUUGGAAUGUUCUCCUUCCCCUGCCAGUUGUUUAUUCAUGCAUCAACAAUGAGGAGCAACUGAAGGGUUGUUUCCUGCUUUUCCUUAUCACAAACUUCCAGCUGGGAGUUAAGGAGGCACCUGUGACGUCACCCAGACUGAGGGAUGAGAAGAGACCUUUGUGUCCGUGCUUGGAAGGAGCUGGAAAACCAUCCAGAGAUACCAGCCUUUUGUAUGAAACUGGAUUGCCUGCAAAUUCAGAAAGCUCUGGAUGUUUUUUUGUGAAAUCCCAACCUCAGUUUUGCCUCAGAGGAUCCCGUGUGGGUUUGGAACUGCUGCUUCCCUGGGACCAGAGCAGACAUGGAUUUCCAGAUCCUUUCUAACACAGAAUUAUGGCCCUGGGAGCUCUUUGCCCACCAGACACUGAGAGAGUGACACCCAAAGCCAUCAUUUGUGGGAUUCAAUCUGGGAGUUCACCAUCAGUGACUGCACCUGGAUGGGGUUCCACUGGUGUCUGACACAUCCCUGCACGAGGUCCAGCUGCCUGGAACUGAAUGAGGGAUCACAGCCUCAGGAAUUCCACCCCAGCGUUAUUGGAGCAAGGGCCUCCUGCCAGGGCUCCUCCCGGCCUGGGGAUGCUGGCAGGG
Molecule: long non-coding RNA, 748 nt
Organism: Lepidothrix coronata (blue-crowned manakin)
Lineage: Eukaryota; Metazoa; Chordata; Aves; Passeriformes; Pipridae
Exons: 5
Source: RefSeq, a predicted model, not a curated record